This is a long non-coding RNA of Felis catus (domestic cat), 5321 nucleotides long. RefSeq lists it as uncharacterized. Lineage: Eukaryota; Metazoa; Chordata; Mammalia; Carnivora; Felidae. The record is from RefSeq and is a predicted model, not a curated record. The transcript is spliced from 9 exons.
GUGGGGCGGAGGAGGCAUCGUGUGCAGAGGCAGCUGCUACUGCUGUGGCGCCUCCCUGGCGCGCGAGUGCGUGCACAAGGAUCCCCGACGUGCGGCCCGGCGCCCUCCUCUGCUGGGGCGUCUUCACCAAUGACUUCUAGGGCAAGGGCAUGGCCUAGAACUCGAGCCACAAGUCCUACCGGCCGCUCUGCGUCCUCACCUUCAAGUUGAGAUUGCCUGCCUGCAAAAGUAGUUCAGCUCGGGUUUAAGAAGACUGGACCUCAAGGAAGCAUUUGAUAUGUAUCUUUUCAGAAAUUUGAUUCCACCCUCCUAAGGACCCCAGAAGAACAUGGGAUGCAGGCAGGAAUUUCUAUAGGAGCAAGCGCUAGAACAGAAGUUUUCACCAAAAACAAAGGAAGUAAGUAGAGACAAAAGCAAUACAACAAGACCGAGAAACAAAAAGCCAGGAUAUUGAUUUGGGGACUCUUGACAGUGGAAGGAGGUGCCAGCCAACUACUGAGAGGAAUGGAUCAGGCUUUUAAGAAAUUACUUCUGUGAUGAAGAGAGGAAAAGAUCCCAGAUUCUUUACCCAAGGAAUUUCCACCACCUUGUGUGAACGGAGAACAGAGAGAAAACAGAGAACAUGUAGGGGCAGGUGGCCAGCAGCCCUGGGACGGGGUGGGGGACAGAAACUCAGCACCUGACUGAGUGGUAGAUCUCAUGGUCCAAUAGCCACUUUGGCACAGGGAGUGGAAAGGAGCCAACCCAAGGCCAUACCCCUGUGUGCAUGGCAAGCACCCCAAAGGACAAGAUCUGACUGGUUGGACCUCUCUUCCUCUUGGAUACAACGUCUCCACUCGGAAGAACUCUAGAAACAGUCCUUUGGAUGGUCGGCCAUCGCAUCAGAUGGCCCAUUCCUGGCUUUGAGAAGACAGGAACCAUUGUGUCAUGGAGAAAGCAUAGACUGAGGACCAGACAGAACGGUGAGCCCCAGCUCCAUGUGAGUCUGCCAUUUGCCACCUGUAUUAAGUUCAGGCAAGUCAUCUAACCAUCUGAGCCUCUAUUUCCUUAUGAGAACAUGGAGAAAAGAAUCACCGCAUGAUGGGGUGCCUGGGUGGUACAGUCCGUAGGUUUCUUGACUCCCGGUCUCAGCUCAGGUCAUGAUUUCACAGUUCAUGAGUUUGAGCCCUGCAUCGGGCUCUGCACUGAUAGCACUGAGCCUGCCUGAGAUUCUGUCUCUCUCCCUCUCUUUGCCAUUCUCCCACUUGUGCCCCCCCCUCAAAAUAAAUAAACUUAAAAAAAAUAAAAAUUUAAAAAGAGUCAUGACAUGAUUAUCAAACCUAUUAGUGUAUGUUAAUCUUUAUUCCAUUUUUUCUGUUUCUUCCUCACAAUGCCUAAUGUAGUGUUGUGCAUAAAAUGGACAUUAAGUUGAUAUUGGACACCAUGUGUCCAACAUGUAUUGAGUACUGUAUACCAGGAACUGCAAUUGGUCCUGAGCACACACCCGUGAAAAUUCAGCCUUCAGUCAGCCUGGAUUCUCCAUCAUCAGGAAUGCAGCUGCUGAUGGCUCUUGGCACAUGGCUUUCACAUCACACAACAUCACCAUCAGAAUGGGCUGAAAUUUGUUCUCUAUGGUGAGAUUCAUAAUGUCCAACAAGGACUCCAACUGAUCAAACCUUGUGUAAGGUUUCCACCCAGUUCCAAUUAACUGUGGCUAGAAACAUAAACUUCUUGGGGUGCCUGGGUGGCUCAGUCGGUUGAGCGUGCAACUUUUGAUUUUGGCUCAGGUCAUGAGCAUGGGGUCAUGGGAUUGACCCCUGAAUUGAGCUCCACACCAAGUAUGAAACCUACUUAAGAUUCUCCCUCUCUCUCUUUCUCUCUCUCUGUCUCUCUCCCUCUGCCUCCCUCCCUCCCUCCCUCCACCUCUCUCCCUUCCUCCCCCUGUGCCCCUCUUCCCCACUCACACACACACACUCUCUCUCCCUUUCUUUCUAAAAAAGGAAGGAAGGAAGGAAGGAAGGAAGGAAGGAAGGAAGGAAGGAAGGAAGGAAGGAAGGAAAAGCUUCCUUACUGUGUCUGUCCCAAGUGCAAUCUCAUAUGUAUCCAGGGAUAAUCAGCAUUGGUUAUCAGAGAGUAGGUUCCAUAAGACAAUGGUCCCUCCCUUUGAUUGGUUCAGUGGAUAAAGGAACAUUUCCCAGAAGGGCUGUGUACGAAGACGAUGCUAUUCCAGGCGGAUAAUACAGCAUAUAUCCAUGUCAGUAUAUCUUAAGAGCAGGCUCUUUGUCUUGUUGGUCUUACUCAUCUGCCCAAAUCAUUGACACAUGUGCAUGUAUAUUUGAAAUGUUUGUGGAAAGGAAGAAUAUAGAAAAAAACAGGGAAUAUUUAAUUGCUAUUUUUGUGGCAAUGACUAUACCAACAAUGCAACUACAGUGUGGGAUUUAGAGGGGUCAUGAAAGAGAUAAAAACUUUAAUUAGGCCUCCAAGAAUGAUUUAAGUAAGAUUUGAUUAAGGAAGAAGGGAGAAGGCAUUUCAUAAAUGAACCUGGCUUAUGUGUUUAUGUGAGGGGUGAGGGAAAGCAAUCAGGGUUCAAAUGGGCCUUACUGAAGCAGUGAGGAAAUAAUGGAUAAAGAUGAUAAAUCAACUAUUGGAGGCAGGCUAUUUGAACCCCAAGAAAUGGUCUAUUCCUAAUGUGUUAGUGAGUAGGAAGGCAUAUAAGGUCUUAAUAUUUAUGAAUAUUCAUGAAUAUUAAUUUAGGAAGAUUAACAGUUGCAAUGCUGAGGAAACUGGUCAUGAAGAUAUUUUCUGGGAAGUUAGCAAUGAAACCCUGAAGUGACAUCCCGAAUCAAUAAAGAGAAAUCACUGAUUCUGUGACAGAUUGGAGAUAGAAGCUCUAUUUCAGCAAAGGGAAACUCAAAAAUAACUUUAAAGCUGAUGAUGAUGAUGAUUAUGAUGAUGAUGAUGAUGAUGAUGAUACCCCUGGAAUAUAUUAGAUGAUAGGGAAAGGAGUUUGGGUUGAUAGAAAUAACAAGCUUAAUUUUGAAAUCCUAGGAAAUUAAUUUUGAAUUCUAGAAACUAGCAGAGCACUUGAAUGGAGGCAGUCAGUAGACUUCUACAAAUAUCAUCCUGAAUUUCACGUAAAAUCUGAAGGUGUCUUAUGGAAGCCAAAAUUACUUUAAUAAUUUUACUUCACAAGGAUGUGAGUCUUCACUCUAUGGAAACGUCUGGACUAGGUGUUCUGUCCAAACAAGAAAGAUACAAUCCCUGCCUUUUAGCCACUUCCCUUCUGUGAGGGGACAUGACAAGCAAACACUUCACUACGAUAUCAAUAAUCCUAUGACCUUAGGCUUAGGUUUGUGUUUCUUACUGUGUUUUAACUGAAAAGUGGGAUUCUACACCAAAAGCAACAUUAAGAAAUAGUCCUAAACCAAUGGGGCGGCAACAUUUGCUUUCUUUGGUUGCCAUGGCAGUCAAUCUUGGCAUUUCAUGGAGAAAUGUGCUCUCAAGACUCUGAGCUGGGGCAUUCUGAAGUGGCCUCUGUUGGGCUCCAGCAGCCUCUUCAACUUGCUAUUAUCUUUCACACCAUGGCCCUAAGUGCUUAAACUACUCUGAUAAAGACAGCUUCCAUUUAAUAAGCUCCUGAUUUUUGGAGCUAUAUACUCUAUGUACAUCAGCUCUUUUAAUUCUUGGAAGUGCCCACACAGAAACUCAAAGUGAUGAGUAACUAGGUUUCUAUUACACAGACACCUUUCAUUCAUCCAUUCACUCGACAGAUAUUUAUUAAACCCCUGUUCCCAUCCAGGUGCUAUACUAAGCCCUAAGGUCAGACAGUCCCUACCCUUACGGAAUUUAUAAUCUCAAGAAGGCAGAUAUUGCAUUAUUAAAGAAGUACUUUACAGUAUGAUAUGAUGCUUGCUUUUGUUAUAGACAGGAAGUUAUGGAAAUAUAUAUCAGAGGGAAUCUAAUCUGGUGGGCAGAGAAGGCCUUGCUGAGGAAAUAAGUGACCUUUAAACUGAGACUUGAAGGACAAGUGUUACUAGUUUAGCUAAAAGGGGACAGAAAGUGUAGUCCAGGAAAAUAUACUGAAAAACAUGCUGCAAGCUUGGAAAUGAGAGAGGACCUAGGUGAUUAAAAUAAAUGUAAAAUGUUCUGAGUAUUUGGAUCAUAGAAUUGGAGGCAGAGAGUGAGGGCAACUUGACUAACAAAUUACUGUAUCAGGAUAAGAAUUUAGGCCUGUUGGACUCCAAUACCUGCUCUGGACAUUCUCCCCACAGCCUCUUGAAAUGUGCAAAGAAUCCAGAUUAGGCUGCCAUUUUUCGGUGUCCCAAAAGCCAGGAAGAAAUGGAUUUUUCAUUUCAGGAUGACAGCGUAGUCCCAUUGCACAGGUCUGUAGUUUCAAACAGCAAGAAUGAGUUUUUGAAUAUGCUAACUCUGUAAGUCAGGACUUUCCACAAGCAACCGUCCUUUAAGAUUCAGAGAAAAUUCCAGUGGGUUGGAAGGGAAUUCAGAGGAGAAAUGUCUGGUGGUUUCUCAGGUUGAUUAUUUGAAAAAAUGUGCUGUCAAUAUUCAAUUUUAAGAUUGAAAUUUCAAGUUAAUUGUUUUUUUUUUUCUGUCUGUGAAAAUUACUCUUAUUUUUUAGAGUAGCUCUUCUGAGAACUGAGACUAUAUUGUAGAAAGAGGACCAUGGUCAGCCAUUCUGGUGCCUUUAAUCUAGAGAGAGGGUUUAAUUUGUAAUGUUAAUCUGACACUUUUCAUUAGCACUAUUUUUACUUAAAAAGUAUGGGUAAAAAGUGUGUGUGCCAUAUAAAACUGUUUUGUGGGUUAUCGUGAAAAAUGAUUAAAACAUAGUUAAUGAUGAAUAUAUGUGCACUUCUGACAGCAGCAUUUACAUUGGAUAUCACAUCUCUGUUUUGCUCUUAUAGUAAAUGAGUAAAUCUAAUGCUGCAAAUUCUCAAGGCAACCGUGGGGAAGACAAGAAAAGUUCAGUCAUUAAUCACAUUGUGAAACUAGACAUAGCAGAAAAAGAAUUGAAACAAAACUCACUGGACCAAAAAUAAUCCAUAUUGGAAAGUGUAGAUUUGCCUAGUCAGAUGUAAGAUUCAAGUGAUAUUUGUUUUUCUGAGCUGUCUCCUGACCUAAAAUAGAUAGCAGUAGUGAACGAAACAUUAUACAUUUCCUUUUCUGGGCCCAGUAAAUUGGGAAUUAAAAAAAUAUGCUUUAUGUGUUAGAAGUGCUUUCCCAAAAAUUCUUAUAUAAUUCAUCAGUUAAAGUUAAGUGAAGCUAUCAUUCAUAUUGGCACAGUUAAAUAUUAUAUUAUGACGAUUAAAUAGGGGCAAAGAUUUAUA